This 429-nucleotide ribosomal RNA is filed under the name Bacteroidota bacterium. RNAcentral describes it as "Bacteroidetes bacterium partial 16S ribosomal RNA". It matches the Rfam family "Bacterial small subunit ribosomal RNA", at positions 355 to 776 of the family's 1533-position model. Lineage: Bacteria; Pseudomonadati; Bacteroidota. The record is from RNAcentral.
UAGGGAAUCUUCCGCAAUGGACGCAAGUCUGACGGAGCAACGCCGCGUGAGUGAAGAAGGAUUUCGGUUCGUAAAACUCUGUUGUUAGAGAAGAACAGCGCAUAGAGUAACUGUUAUGCGUGUGACGGUAUCUAACCAGAAAGCCACGGCUAACUACGUGCCAGCAGCCGCGGUAAUACGUAGGUGGCAAGCGUUGUCCGGAUUUAUUGGGCGUAAAGCGAGCGCAGGCGGUCAAUUAAGUCUGAUGUGAAAGCCCCCGGCUCAACCGGGGAGGGUCAUUGGAAACGGGUUGACUUGAGUGCAGAAGAGGAGAGUGGAAUUCCAUGUGUAGCGGUGAAAUGCGUAGAUAUAUGGAGGAACACCAGUGGCGAAGGCGACUCUCUGGUCUGUAAAUGACGCUGAGGCUCGAAAGCGUGGGUAGCAAACAGG